RNAcentral lists this unclassified non-coding RNA (433 nucleotides) under soil metagenome. Its description in RNAcentral is "partial contains 5.8S ribosomal RNA, internal transcribed spacer 2, and large subunit ribosomal RNA". The stretch from base 1 to 120 matches the Rfam family "5.8S ribosomal RNA", at positions 35 to 154 of the family's 154-position model. The record is from RNAcentral.
GAUGAAGAACGUAGCGAAAUGCGAUACGUAAUGUGAAUUGCAGAAUUCAGUGAAUCAUCGAAUCUUUGAACGCAUAUUGCGCUCUCUGGUAUUCCGGAGAGCAUGCUUGUUUGAGUAUCAGUAAACACCUCAACUUCCAUAUCUUUUUUGAAAUGGGAGUUGGACUUGAGUGAUCCCAACGCUUUUCCUCACCGAAAAGUGGCGGGUUACUUGAAAUGCAGGUGCAGCUGGACUUUUCUCUGAGCUAUAAGCAUAUCUAUUUAGUCUGCCUAAAAAACAGAUUAUUACCUGUGCUGCAGCUAACAUAAAGGAGAUUAGUUCUUGUGCUGACUGAUGCAGGAUUCACAAAGACAGGCUUCGGCCGACUUUGUAAACUCGAUCUCAAAUCAAGUAAGACUACCCGCUGAACUUAAGCAUAUCAAUAAGCGGAGGA